Molecule: long non-coding RNA, 407 nt
Organism: Helianthus annuus (common sunflower)
Lineage: Eukaryota; Viridiplantae; Streptophyta; Magnoliopsida; Asterales; Asteraceae
Exons: 3
Source: RefSeq, a predicted model, not a curated record
UCCUUUUUAAAUGGUUACGUGAUAUGCAGGAGGUUAUUUUAUAAUUCUCCUACAUUCUCAAACCCUAACCUACGACUACUUUUCUUGCUCUCCCUCUCUCGCUAUUGUUGACAAGAAUAAGGAGCACCAAAGACUUCAAUUUUUCGGUUCUAGGCUAUAUCGGACUCUCGUCAUCGCUAGGACGUGAUUGACCAACCCCGGCCAUUAGCUACUUUUAAGAGUCCAACCGAGCAACCAAAGGUCGUUAGAGGUUUAGCUGGAGCUUGCAGGGGAGCAGGAGUCGUUGUGGGACAUGAACCACUGCGUGUUCAUGAAAAACUUUAGUAAAUUAAAAACUUAAAUUUUGGUUUUGAACUUAAAUGCUUCCGCUGACUAUUCAACUUGGUUUUGGACUUUGGUUUUGAGAA